CUUUGGCGUUACUCUCCAUCUUCUUAGAUCUGGAAAUGCUUUAUGUUGUACACGACCUUUCCCUUCUGCACCUUUUCUCCUCUCCCUGCCUCUAGGUCUUUGAGGAUUAUGUGUGUAGCUCUCUGUUAUUCAGCUACUUAACUCUUUCCUUUCCAGGUUCUUCUGGUUCUUUUAACCUCCCAAAUUCUGGGGACAUGUUCAUGAACAUGCAGAGUCUGAAUGGGGAUUCUUACCAAGGGUCCCAAGUCGGAGCCAAUGUGCAAUCACAGGUGGAUACCCUCCGUCAUGUUAUCAAUCAGACGGGAGGCUACAGUGAUGGCCUUGGAGGAAACUCACUGUACAGUCCACAUAAUUUAAAUGCUAAUGGAGGCUGGCAGGAUGCAACAACUCCAUCUUCUGUGACUUCGCCUACAGAAGGCCCAGGAAGCGUGCACUCUGAUACCUCUAACUAAUCUCUGGCAACACUUUUCCUUGAGCUGACAUGCCUUGAUAAGUGCAUUCAGAGCAAUAGGAGGAAAAGGAAAGCGUUUUUGUAGCCCACCAUCUACAGCUUUACUGUAAAACCUUGUCUUAUUAGAGAACUUGGUAAAUCAGUUUUUUAAGGAAUCAUAAUCAUUUGUAUUUAUACUUAAAAACACACAAUGUUAAAAAAGCACUUUAUCCAAUUAGGCCAAGAUUUAACAUUGUUGACAGUCCUGUAGCUAUUUUAUCAUAAUUUAUUAUCAAUAUUUUACAUUAAUGGUCUCACAGUUGCCAAUUACUUGGCCUUAAGGGUAAAAAGUACAAUGUAUGCUAAACCUCAAUCGUUAAAGCAGAUGCAAAGAUUCACCUCACCUAAACUGAAUUUCUUGCAUAUUUCCAUCGCAGACUUUGAUUGUCUUUCUUUCAUAUCGCUAAUGGGGUUGGAAUAAAGGAGCUGUUUGGCUAUCUCAGUUAACCAUGGUUUGUUAAAGAAUCUUCCUGGUCACGUUUGUGUUUCGAUCUCUUGUGUUAUAAUUAGAUCAGAGACUGGUAGCAUCUUUUCUCUCUGAGUCCAGAGUCUGCUCGGUAAUUAAAUUAUGGAUCCAGAUUGUUCUGAGAGAUGAAGAAUACUUGCUGCUGAUAGAGGUGAACACGAGAUCCAUCUGGGGUUGUACAGUGUGCGCUGGGUGCUGCACGGGCUUGUCAAGGUUUGCUACGUCCUCUGGGCAUCCACAAGGGCCCUGCUCUCUGGAGUGUUGUAUAUAGUGUAGCAAAAGAGUAUUUAUACAUCUCACCAAUCAAAACACAGCUUUAUUACCUCAUGCGAACUCAUACAAACCAAUAGAAUUUCAACAUGUUCUGUAGCUUAGAGUGCUCACUUACUACCUCUGAACAAUACUCACGCUGUAGUUUGUCUCUUUCUUACCUUUUUGCAUCUUGUAAUUAACUCUUUGUUUCCCUUCAUAAAAUGUAAUGUACAUUGUAAUCUUUUAAAAGAAAAAAAAAAAAAUCAGGGUUGCAUUUGCAACUUCUAAAAAACCGAGAGUGGAAACAUUGGGUCUUCAAUGAACACAGGAUCAGUAGAACUGUUGUAAAUACUGAGAAAGCAUUUUGAAUGUUCUUCAUCUUGUUACUAAUCCAUGCAAAAAAGAAAAAAAGAAAAAAAAGCGGCGCCGAUUGUGAUGCAUUCAGAGUCCAGUAUUCGGUACUGUAUAUUUCACCCUGUGCGCUGGGGCCCCCUCUCCUUCCUCUCUUUUUGUAUUGUAUGCGAUUCUGAAACUGAUUGAGUCAUGAAAAUAAUUUGUGGUGGUGAUUCUAAUGUAUUAAAAUGUUUCGUGUUCCUUUCUAACUGGAUUACACCCUGGAUUGAAAAAGUCUUCCUCGUGGUAGCUCUAUGUAGUUUCAAACAUGAAUAAACUUUUUGCUUUCAUGAUUAAA
This is a non-coding RNA of Leptonychotes weddellii (Weddell seal), 1899 nucleotides long. NCBI's taxonomy places the organism in Eukaryota, Metazoa, Chordata, Mammalia, Carnivora, Phocidae. The record is from RefSeq and is a predicted model, not a curated record.